RNAcentral lists this non-coding RNA (28 nucleotides) under Mus musculus (house mouse). The record is from RNAcentral. Lineage: Eukaryota; Metazoa; Chordata; Mammalia; Rodentia; Muridae.
UAGAUGCUAUGUCAGGCUCACAGAACUG